GCACCCACCGCGCAUUAUCUCCAACCGAAAACACGGCCUCCUCACGACGUACGUGGCCGCAGGUUCGUCCUCCAAUCUUUUCCCACGUCCCCCAGUUUUCUCCUCCAUUUCUCCCUCCUCCCCUGGCCGCAUCUCCAGGGGAAAGGAAGCGAGGCGCAGGGAGGGAGUGUGGCACGAGCGCGCCCGCCCCUGAAAAAUGGCGGCCUCCCUCUGGCUGCUGCAGCUCCCUUCUCCUCCUCUCCACAGCAUCGUCUUCCUCUCGACCAGCCACUGCCCCUCUCCUCUUUCCGCGCCUGCGUCGCCUCUGCUGCACAGGAAGCACGCACCGGCCAGAGCCAGAGGCAAUCUUGCCUGCAGCUCAUCUGGUAGCUCCUCGUCCUCUGCUUCCCCUGUUGUGACCAAAGAUCAAGAGGGAGCAGCAGCAGCAGCAGAGGCGACGUCCCCAGUCCCUGCUCCGGCGGCUGUCAGAUACGACUACAAGGAUGACCCCAACUUCAGGGGGUGCAAGGGGUGCGGCCGUGAGGAAACGGAGAGGGGCUGCAACGGCGAAGGGCGGAUCAUGGGCGGCAUAGCCGCCGUCCCCUUGUUCGGGUGGUGGCCGAUCAAGGCCUACCGGCCGUGCCCUGGCUUCGUCGCCUCCGGCGGCCGGUACCGGCGCUACGGCCAGAGCAUGGACGACGUCAUAGCCGGCAAGGGGCGGAAAGUCGCCUCCGACAAGAAGAAAAGUGACAAAUGAUCCACCUCAAGGAACUGGAGUGCACCGCAUGUGCUGGAGAAGGAUGUCCAUUGUUCAACCUUCCUAGAUUUUGUUUCAGGCUCGACGUUGUCUAGCUAGGUCAGAUUGUUCGAGCAGCGCUGUAAUUCAUCCAGCCUGCAGAAUCAAUUCCCAUAUCGAAGUUUUGUACGUAGCUCCGAAUGGACGGCAAAUGUACUCCACUCUUCUAUGUUUACAUCUCGCUUGCCAAAUCUAAUAGCAGCAAAACGGUUUCAGGAAGUUCUAGGUCAGGAGAUUCAUUUUCACACACAACAGCCAAAACAAUGGCCCAUGUAACCACCAGAUGAGCAAAUGCAGCCAAGAGGUGUCAAAGAAUGGUCACUUCUGA
This 1103-nucleotide ribosomal RNA is filed under the name Triticum aestivum (bread wheat). RNAcentral's name for it is "partial small subunit ribosomal RNA". Lineage: Eukaryota; Viridiplantae; Streptophyta; Magnoliopsida; Poales; Poaceae. The record is from RNAcentral.